GAUGAACGCUGGCGGCGUGCCUAAUACAUGCAAGUCGAGCGAACAGACGAGGAGCUUGCUCCUCUGACGUUAGCGGCGGACGGGUGAGUAACACGUGGAUAACCUACCUAUAAGACUGGGAUAACUUCGGGAAACCGGAGCUAAUACCGGAUAAUAUAUUGAACCGCAUGGUUCAAUAGUGAGAGACGGCGUUGCGGUCACUUAUAGAGGGAUCCGCGCCGCAUUAGCUAGUUGGUAAGGUAACGGCUUACCAAGGCGACGAUGCGUAGCCGAACUGAGAGGGUGAUCGCCCACACUGGAGCUGAGACACGGUCCAGACUCCUACGGGAGGCAGCAGUAGGGAAUGUUACGCAAUGGGCGAGAGCCUGACGGAGCAACGCCGCGUGAGUGAUGACGGUCUUCGGAUCGUGAAACUCUGUUAUUAGGGAAGAACAAAUGUGUAAGUAACUAUGCACGUCUUGACGGUACCUAAUCAGAAAGCCACGGCUAACUACGUG
Molecule: ribosomal RNA, 497 nt
Filed under: uncultured bacterium
Lineage: Bacteria
Description: partial 16S ribosomal RNA
Rfam family: Bacterial small subunit ribosomal RNA
Source: RNAcentral